GUGCCAGCCGCCGCGGUAAUACGUAGGUCCCAAGCGUUGUCCGGAUUUAUUGGGCGUAAAGCGAGCGCAGGUGGUUUCUUAAGUCUGAUGUAAAAGGCAGUGGCUCAACCAUUGUGUGCAUUGGAAACUGGGAGACUUGAGUGCAGGAGAGGAGAGUGGGAAUUCCCAUGUGUAGCGGUGAAAUGCGUAGAUAUAUGGAGGAACACCGGAGGCGAAAGCGGCUCUCUGGCCUGUAACUGACACUGAGGCUCGAAAGCGUGGGGAGCAAACAGGAUUAGAUACCCUGGUAGUCCACGCCGUAAACGAUGAGUGCUAGCUGUAGGGAGCUAUAAGUUCUCUGUAGCGCAGCUAACGCAUUAAGCACUCCGCCUGGGGAGUACGACCGCAAGGUUGAAACUCAAAGGAAUUGACGGGGCCCGCACAAGCGGUGGAGCAUGUGGUUAAUUCGAAGCAACGCGAAGAACCUACCAGGUCUUGACAUACUCGUGCUAUCCUUAGAGAUAAGGAGUUCCUUACGGG
Molecule: ribosomal RNA, 519 nt
Filed under: uncultured Lactococcus sp.
Lineage: Bacteria; Bacillati; Bacillota; Bacilli; Lactobacillales; Streptococcaceae
Description: bacterial SSU rRNA
Rfam family: Bacterial small subunit ribosomal RNA
Source: RNAcentral